This 512-nucleotide ribosomal RNA is filed under the name uncultured bacterium. Its description in RNAcentral is "partial 16S ribosomal RNA". It matches the Rfam family "Bacterial small subunit ribosomal RNA", at positions 28 to 523 of the family's 1533-position model. The record is from RNAcentral.
GACGAACGCUGGUGGCGUGCCUAAUACAUGCAAGUCGAGCGGACCAAUAGAAGCUUGCUUCUGUUGGUUAGCGGCGGACGGGUGAGUAACACGUGGGCAACCUGCCUGUAAGACUGGGAUAACUUCGGGAAACCGGAGCUAAUACCGGAUAAUUCAUCCCCUCGCAUGAGGGGGUGCUGAAAGUCGGUUUACGCUGACACUUACAGAUGGGCCCGCGGCGCAUUAGCUAGUUGGUGAGGUUAUGGCUCACCAAGGCGACGAUGCGUAGCCGACCUGAGAGGGUGAUCGGCCACACUGGGACUGAGACACGGCCCAGGCUCCUACGGGAGGCAGCAGUAGGGAAUCUUCCACAAUGGACGAAAGUCUGAUGGAGCAACGCCGCGUGAGCGAUGAAGGCCUUCGGGUCGUAAAGCUCUGUUGUUAGGGAAGAACAAGUAUCGGAGUAACUGCCGGUACCUUGACGGUACCUAACCAGAAAGCCACGGCUAACUACGUGCCAGCAGCCGCAGUAA